This is a long non-coding RNA of Ictalurus punctatus (channel catfish), 505 nucleotides long. The record is from Ensembl. NCBI's taxonomy places the organism in Eukaryota, Metazoa, Chordata, Actinopteri, Siluriformes, Ictaluridae.
CCAGCUCAAGCACACGUGGUGCAACUACUGAAGCCCUGGAUUAGUUUAGCAUCACGUGUGUCUGAGACAACACCUGUUUUGCAUAUUUGAGCUGUUGUGAAGGAUUCUGUUCAGGGGGUUGAAUAAUUUUGUCUGCAAGUUAAACCGGUCUCACGUCGGCCCGCGUGCCUGAGUUGUGUUGCGCGCUCGCGAUGGUGCAUUAAACUAACCAAAAGCAGCUGUGUUAUAUUUGAACUCGCCCCGAGUGCAUGCACGCGUUGCGUUCCGUCAUCAACCGUCAGAGAUUUCCUCAGAGAUCAGUUUCGCUGUUUGCGUUUAAACACUGAGUCUACGAUUCUUUUCAUCUAUAAAUCGGCUCAUACGCGACUAAAGUGAAACCGUAGCCACGGCUUUGAUUAAAGGAGUCGAUUCAGUGAAGUGAUUCAUAAUGGCCGUCACUGCGGAUUGAACGCGCGCGCCAGAAGACACGAGUGAGAGAUGAACAUGGAGGACAGAAGGGAAGAGA